GUGCUUGCUUUGGCAGCACAUAAACUAAAAUGGAAAUGAUACAAAGAAGAUUACCAUGGCCGCUGCACUAGGAUGACACGUAAACUUGUGAAGCAUUCCGUAUUAUA
This 107-nucleotide small nuclear RNA is filed under the name Cebus imitator (Panamanian white-faced capuchin). Lineage: Eukaryota; Metazoa; Chordata; Mammalia; Primates; Cebidae. The record is from RNAcentral.